Molecule: ribosomal RNA, 506 nt
Filed under: uncultured bacterium
Lineage: Bacteria
Description: bacterial SSU rRNA
Rfam family: Bacterial small subunit ribosomal RNA
Source: RNAcentral
GACGAACGCUGGCGGCGUGGAUUAGGCAUGCAAGUCGAACGGUAUCAUCCUUUCGGGGGUGAGAGAGUGGCGAACUGGUGAGUAACACGUAGGUUAUCUACCCUCAAGACGGGGACAACCCAGGGAAACUUGGGCUAAUACCGGAUGUGAGCAACUUUUAGUUGUUUGAAAGGUGGCGUAAGCUGUCGCUUGGGGAUGAGCCUGCGUCCUAUUAGUUAGUUGGUGAGGUAACGGCUCACCUAGGCAAUGAUAGGUAGGCGGCCUUAACGGGUGGUCGCCCACACUGGGAUUGAGAUACGGCCCAGACUCCUACGGGAGGCAGCAGUCGAGAAUAGUCUACAAUGGUCGGAAGACUGAUAGUGCGACGCCGCGUGAACGAUGAAUCCCUUCGGGGUGUAAAGUUCUUUUAUAUGUGAGCAGUGCUUCUUAUAUUAACAGUAUGGGGAAGAGAUAUUAGCAUAUGAAUAAGCAACGGCUAACUCCGUGCCAGCAGCCGACGGUAAACU